This 123-nucleotide transfer RNA is filed under the name uncultured marine group II/III euryarchaeote KM3_83_G03. RNAcentral describes it as "tRNA-Tyr". It matches the Rfam family "tRNA". Rfam says of the family: Transfer RNA (tRNA) molecules are approximately 80 nucleotides in length. Their secondary structure includes four short double-helical elements and three loops (D, anti-codon, and T loops). Lineage: Archaea; Methanobacteriati; Methanobacteriota. The record is from RNAcentral.
CCCUCUGUAGCUCAAUUGGUAGAGCGUCCGGCUGUAGAUGCAAUGCGACGAUCCCGAAUGGGAAUGGAUGAAACAUUGCCAGCCGUCACCGGAAGGUUCCUGGUUCAAUUCCGGGCGGGGGGA